Molecule: non-coding RNA, 305 nt
Organism: Pelobates cultripes (western spadefoot toad)
Lineage: Eukaryota; Metazoa; Chordata; Amphibia; Anura; Pelobatidae
Source: the annotation of a GenBank genome assembly
CCCUGACCGGGUGCCUCCGUCAAUCAAUGCUCCUAGUGCUUACAGAGGGCUCCAAGCUCUCCAUCAGACACCAUAGGCACUGCAGACCCCACGCCGCUUGGUUGGGAUCUUGCGUCCUCCACCCACUCUGGAACCAAGACCAGGAUCCAGCUUCCAGUGGGUGAACCUCUCCUCCAAGAGAGUAUAGCUGUUAAGCUCUUACAAGAGAUAGUGGUUACAGCUUGUAUAGCAGGUCCCUACAAACACGAGGCAAGGCUCUAUGUUGAGGGUAAAGCAGGACUCAAUUUUAAUGGUGCCACAUUGGC